UACAGACUGUGCACAUGGCUAACAGUUUGUGAUCAUCUGUUUCAGAUCACCAUGGAAGACCCCCUGUGAAUCCAGCCAUGUCUCUUGUCUCUACUCAGUAUUGUACUGAACUGCUUGUUAGGAGAUUAGUAUAAAUCUCUUUUAGCUUGGUUACCAAUAACGUGUGCUAUGGAGAUAUCGUUCUCCAAAUACCUCCCAAAGGAAUGGCUAGUCUCACUUUCUUCAACUUUCCUUAGCUGCAAGGUGUUGCCAAGAUCAUCAGGAGGGCUGUACAGGGGCUGCGCUCUUCUCUGCCUGAUGCUCCACACAUCUAUCUGCAAGUUGUGAUGUGCUUCUGCAUUACGUGUAAGGAAACCCUUUCAGGAAAGAAGAAUGGAAUAACUCUGUCCAGGAGGAAUUAUUGCCUCUUCAAGUUGUUAUUUCAGCAAAACCAUGUCUUUUGUCUAUCUGACAAAAAGCACUUGAGAGAACUUGGGAACUUCAGAUUUCUUCCAAGUGCUCCAGCACCAUCAGUCUUAUGCACACUGUUCUGAGCACCUUGUCACCGGCCAAGAGGAGAGAGGAUGUACAUGUUUCAAAAAUGCCACUGUGAAAAAGCACCAAGCAGAAAUCCCUCCCCAAUGGAGACUAUGAGAAUAAGGUUGCAGCCCAAAAAUGCCAAGGAAAAAUCCUUCCUUGUGGUUAGCCUGUAACACUGUGGAAAACUUUUAAAUAAAAGUGGUCUCACGUCCUGUGUGGUUCAGAACAAAUUAACUAAUUCUAUUAAUGAAUUUAAUUUGUUAUCAUUGUUUCUUAGAAUCCAUUAAGGGGACCCAAGAUCUGAGAAGCUGCAACCACGACAGCCUGACGACCAAUAAAGGUAGAACAGUUGGGCUAAGAAUCUCAUUUAAGAUCCCCAGCCACCAAAAUGUUUUCAAAAAAUACUCAAUUGUCUGGGGUUGUGCCUGGAAUAGUUAUGGAUUAGGUUCACAUACGAUUCUUUUUCAUGGUGGAGUACUUUUUUUUUUUUUUUCCAGUUUGUUUAAUUGCACUUCUUAUUGCUGCUAUGUAUUUGUUAAUGUCUCUACUAUAGACAUGUAUGAGAACUACAAGAGUUAGUAACCAGCCUGGACAGUCUGUUUUACUGCAGCUAGUUAUGGGGAUUUCCCUCAAGACCCAUUGUUUACAUACAGUUACUUUUACUUAAAACCGAUUAAAUAAUUAAAACAAAUCCCUUGUGUGCCCGGGAUAGUAAUCUGUCUGAAGCAGUAUUUAAGCAGUUUUCUAUAACAGCUUUUUUUUUUUGUUUGUUUGUCUUUUUUUAAGGCAUGAAAUGCAAUUUAGAUGAUCUGCAUUAAUAAAAAUAGAUUUAUGCAGAAAACCUCAUCAACAUGCAUGUAUAUACAUCUUGGUGUCAUGGAAUAGGAGAAAUCCCAGUUUUAUGUAUCCAAAUGCUGCUUUAAACCUGAUUUAUUUAUUUUUCUUCCAUGAGUUUUGAAUGCAGCUGUGAUCCUGCUGUCUCUGCCUCUGGCCCAGAGCCACUGUGUUCGUGUCUGGUGACGUGGGGAGUUGUCUUUGACCUUUCUUCUACGUAGAGUUGAAGGACUACCAUGGGUUAGUGCUGUUGAUAACAAACGUAGAGAUGGGGGAAGCAUUGUGUGGGUGCUGGGCUGUGACUUGGGAGCAAAGCUCAGUGGUCAUGCCUGGGGGAGGACCCCACUUCUGUGACAGGCUCUGGCUUCACCAGCUGGGAUCUGACACCACUGCUUUUUACCCAGGCUGAAGAUCCAGAUCAGCAGCUCGAGUUCUUGCAGAACACGUGUUAGCUUUUCAAAAUGUACUGCUUGCUGAGUAGCCAGAGACGCACAGAAUUUAUAGGGAGCUUUCAACUUUAUUUAUGACAAAACAAACCUUCACCGGGAAGUACGAAUAACAUAGGGCUGCCAUCCUAUGUUUCCUGCUAAUGCAUUUUAUGUGCUCUUGCUCUGCUCUCUCUCUCACUGAUGCUGUCUCUCAUUUUCAGCCUGUAGCUUUAAUAAUCUAUGCCACAUCCUUCUGUACAAUAUUCCUCCUGCAGCUUUCAUUUGACAGCUCUGUUUUUAAUAGAGGAUAAGCAUGAAACUCCAGCAGAAUCUGAAGACAUAUUUCUAAUCUCAUACAGCAUUUAUUUUGCUACUCGGAAAGCUCACUAUCUUGAACAAAGGAAAAAGUAUUUUUCACAUAUUGAGAUGUACAGUAGGUUUUCAUAGGUAUAAUUAAUUCAAAUUCCAACUCAAAGUUACCCUGUAGUAAGAA
Non-coding RNA from Anas platyrhynchos (mallard), 2274 nucleotides. The record is from RefSeq and is a predicted model, not a curated record. NCBI's taxonomy places the organism in Eukaryota, Metazoa, Chordata, Aves, Anseriformes, Anatidae.